Molecule: long non-coding RNA, 712 nt
Organism: Oncorhynchus kisutch (coho salmon)
Lineage: Eukaryota; Metazoa; Chordata; Actinopteri; Salmoniformes; Salmonidae
Exons: 2
Source: RefSeq, a predicted model, not a curated record
GCUACACACCUGAUCAUGGCUUGUUAAAGUUGUUCACAUUUCUCCGCUUAUGAAAACCUCGUCGGAACUGAUGGAGGAAUUUAGUAAUGUACUGGAGGAUAAAAAGACAGACAACACGACUGUCAAAAAUGAGGAAGACAGCUGGGACAUUUUAUGCCACAGAUUUAAUGGAUCGACAAGGAUGAAAGAAAAAAGGAACCCAAAUCAAAUGAAGGUGUGCUGGAAAAACGUAAAGCGAAAGCGAAAGCAAAAAAAGGAUGCAGCAGAGGCGAGUGCUAUUUCAGACCGGAGGGGGCCUCCGUCCAAGAGAAUUGAUCCUCUCUCCCAGAAGAUUUGAGAGAUGGUUCCCCAGCAGUUUGCCCCUCUCCUUAACCCUUAUGAUGACGACGGACAACUCGGCCCAAGGAUAUUUAGUAAACAUAAAUAACUGGGACUCCUGAAACAACCAGCAAACCAGGCUGUCGUAAUGUGAAUCAGUGGAUGUAAAUAAUCUAGCUAGCUAAAGCAUUUACUGCAAAUUGAAUGUACAUGUUUGGAAGCUUGCCUUGCUGAUAUUUGCCAUGCAAUGCCGAAAGAUUAAAUAACGUAGUUAUUAUGUUCUUGCUUAUUGUGCAGUGGAGGAUACAAAUACCUGUAUUGUAACCUGUACAUUUAAUAUAUUCACUGAUCAUGUACUCUACCUUGGCAAAUAAAGGUGCAGUUCAGGUAUGAA